CCAGACUCCUACGGGAGGCAGCAGUGGGGAAUAUUGCACAAUGGGGGGAACCCUGAUGCAGCGACGCCGCGUGGGCGAGGAAGUAUUUCGGUAUGUAAAGCCCUAUCGGCAGGGAAGAAGAAAUGACGGUACCUGAAUAAGAAGCACCGGCUAAAUACGUGCCAGCAGCCGCGGUAAUACGUAUGGUGCAAGCGUUAUCCGGAUUUACUGGGUGUAAAGGGAGCGUAGGCGGUGCAGCAAGUCAGAAGUGAAAGCCCGGGGCUCAACUCCGGGACUGCUUUUGAAACUGUUGAACUAGAUUGCAGGAGAGGUAAGUGGAAUUCCUAGUGUAGCGGUGAAAUGCGUAGAUAUUAGGAGGAACACCAGUGGCGAAGGCGGCUUACUGGACUGUAAAUGACGCUGAGGCUCGAAAGCGUGGGGAGCAAACAGGAUUAGAUACCCUCGUACG
Molecule: ribosomal RNA, 448 nt
Filed under: uncultured bacterium
Lineage: Bacteria
Description: partial 16S ribosomal RNA
Rfam family: Bacterial small subunit ribosomal RNA
Source: RNAcentral